RNAcentral lists this ribosomal RNA (551 nucleotides) under Aureobasidium pullulans. Its description in RNAcentral is "eukaryotic LSU rRNA". It matches the Rfam family "Eukaryotic large subunit ribosomal RNA", at positions 65 to 635 of the family's 3401-position model. The record is from RNAcentral. Lineage: Eukaryota; Fungi; Ascomycota; Dothideomycetes; Dothideales; Saccotheciaceae.
UCCACAGACAUGACUAGUACGGCGAGUGAGCGGCAACAGCUCAAAUUUGAAAGCUAGCCUUCGGGUUCGCAUUGUAAUUUGUAGAGGAUGAUUUGGGGAAGCCGCCUGUCUAAGUUCCUUGGAACAGGACGUCAUAGAGGGUGAGAAUCCCGUAUGUGACAGGAAAUGGCACCCUAUGUAAAUCUCCUUCGACGAGUCGAGUUGUUUGGGAAUGCAGCUCUAAAUGGGAGGUAAAUUUCUUCUAAAGCUAAAUAUUGGCGAGAGACCGAUAGCGCACAAGUAGAGUGAUCGAAAGAUGAAAAGCACUUUGGAAAGAGAGUUAAAAAGCACGUGAAAUUGUUGAAAGGGAAGCGCUUGCAAUCAGACUUGUUUAAACUGUUCGGCCGGUCUUCUGACCGGUUUACUCAGUUUGGACAGGCCAGCAUCAGUUUCGGCGGCCGGAUAAAGGCUCUGGGAAUGUGGCCUCCACUUCGGUGGAGGUGUUAUAGCCCAGGGUGUAAUACGGCCAGCCGGGACUGAGGUCCGCGCUCGGCUAGGAUGCUGCGUCCUAU